Molecule: long non-coding RNA, 655 nt
Filed under: Chrysolophus pictus (golden pheasant)
Lineage: Eukaryota; Metazoa; Chordata; Aves; Galliformes; Phasianidae
Description: lncRNA (ENSCPIG00010009203.1)
Source: RNAcentral
CUGGAGAUCCAGAAACAAAAUCUAAACCAGCUGCUGUUUUGAGGCGGGUGCCUUACUUCAGCUUACUCAAAAGAACACAAGAUGAACGGAGGAAGAACAAGAGAUGCUUGUUUCAGAAUUCAAUUGUUUCAGAGAGAUGUGCUGUGAAAAUUAUCAGCCUCCAGCAGCGAUGCCUGGAACAGGGCGAGGGUUAAAGCUGUACCCCCAACUGCAGGCAGAGUGCAGCAAUGGAGGCAGCAGCCCACGAAGAGGACAAGGAAGAAUCAGGGCAAACCCCCAUUAUGUCAGCACAGCUGUGUGCGUGGUUGGACAGCCCACGUCACUCAUGGUUGGUUGUUUUUUGGAUAACUUUUUCAUAGCUUGACAUUAAAAGACAGGAUGAGCUUUCCCGUAUGCUGAAGGCACGGCAGAGCUGUGCUGAGCCAGUGGGAACAUCACUAUUUGUUUGCGUGGGUAACAGUCCCGGCCCUUGUGGCACAAACAAUUUUGUUUGGGGCCAUGAGAGCAGAAGUUCCCUACGCAGAACUGAUGUAGGGUCACCACAGCUUUGUGACAUCAACACCAAGCCCACCAAACCACAUCCUUAAGUGUCUCUAUCUUUCACCCAAACACAGGGACCCCACCUGGGCAGUCUGUUCCAGUGCAUUAUCACUCC